CAUUAAAAAAACACCGGUUCUCACAUGAUCAGUCAAGUUAAGCAACGUCGAGCCUGGUCUGUACCUAGAUGGGUGUCAGCUUCGGAAUAUCAGGUGUUGUAAU
Non-coding RNA from Acanthosepion pharaonis, 103 nucleotides. The record is from the annotation of a GenBank genome assembly. Lineage: Eukaryota; Metazoa; Mollusca; Cephalopoda; Sepiida; Sepiidae.